GACGAACGCUGGCGGCGUGCCUAAUACAUGCAAGUUGAGCGCUGAAGGUUGGUACUUGUACCGACUGGAUGAGCAGCGAACGGGUGAGUAACGCGUGGGGAAUCUGCCUUUGAGCGGGGGACAACAUUUGGAAACGAAUGCUAAUACCGCAUAAAAACUUUAAACACAAGUUUUAAGUUUGAAAGAUGCAAUUGCAUCACUCAAAGAUGAUCCCGCGUUGUAUUAGCUAGUUGGUGAGGCAAAGGCUCACCAAGGCGAUGAUACAUAGCCGACCUGAGAGGGUGAUCGGCCACAUUGGGACUGAGACACGGCCCAAACUCCUACGGGAGGCAGCAGUAGGGAAUCUUCGGAAAUGGACGAAAGUCUGACCGAGCAACGCCGCGUGAGUGAAGAAGGUUUUCGGAUCGUAAAACUCUGUUGGUAGAGAAGAACGUUGGUGAGAGUGGAAAGCUCAUCAAGUGACGGUAACUACCCAGAAAGGGACGGCUAACUACGUG
This 497-nucleotide ribosomal RNA is filed under the name uncultured bacterium. RNAcentral's name for it is "partial 16S ribosomal RNA". It matches the Rfam family "Bacterial small subunit ribosomal RNA", at positions 28 to 507 of the family's 1533-position model. The record is from RNAcentral.